AAGCGUUGGAAACGACGUCUAAUACUGGAUAGGACUACUGGCCGCAUGGUCUGGUGGUGGAAAGAUUUUUUGGUUGGGGAUGGACUCGCGGCCUAUCAGCUUGUUGGUGAGGUAAUGGCUCACCAAGGCGACGACGGGUAGCCGGCCUGAGAGGGUGACCGGCCACACUGGGACUGAGACACGGCCCAGACUCCUACGGGAGGCAGCAGUGGGGAAUAUUGCACAAUGGGCGAAAGCCUGAUGCAGCAACGCCGCGUGAGGGAUGACGGCCUUCGGGUUGUAAACCUCUUUUAGUAGGGAAGAAGCGAAAGUGACGGUACCUGCAGAAAAAGCACCGGCUAACUACGUGCCAGCAGCCGCGGUAAUACGUAGGGUGCAAGCGUUGUCCGGAAUUAUUGGGCGUAAAGAGCUCGUAGGCGGUUUGUCGCGUCUGCUGUGAAAUCCCGAGGCUCAACCUCGGGCUUGCAGUGGGUACGGGCAGACUAGAGUGCGGUAGGGGAGAUUGGAAUUCCUGGUGUAGCGGUGGAAUGCGCAGAUAUCAGGAGGAACACCGAUGGCGAAGGCAGAUCUCUGGGCCGUAACUGACGCUGAGGAGCGAAAGCAUGGGGAGCGAACAGGAUUAGAUACCCUGGUAGUCCAUGCCGUAAACGUUGGGCGCUAGAUGUAGGGACCUUUCCACGGUUUCUGUGUCGUAGCUAACGCAUUAAGCGCCCCGCCUGGGGAGUACGGCCGCAAGGCUAAAACUCAAAGGAAUUGACGGGGGCCCGCACAAGCGGCGGAGCAUGCGGAUUAAUUCGAUGCAACGCGAAGAACCUUACCAAGGCUUGACAUACACCGGAAACGGCCAGAGAUGGUCGCCCCCUUGUGGUCGGUGUACAGGUGGUGCAUGGUUGUCGUCAGCUCGUGUCGUGAGAUGUUGGGUUAAGUCCCGCAACGAGCGCAACCCUCGUUCUAUGUUGCCAGCGCGUUAUGGCGGGGACUCAUAGGAGACUGCCGGGGUCAACUCGGAGGAAGGUGGGGAUGACGUCAAAUCAUCAUGCCCCUUAUGUCUUGGGCUUCACGCAUGCUACAAUGGCCGGUACAAAGGGCUGCGAUACCGUAAGGUGGAGCGAAUCCCAAAAAGCCGGUCUCAGUUCGGAUUGAGGUCUGCAAC
Molecule: ribosomal RNA, 1153 nt
Filed under: Curtobacterium sp.
Lineage: Bacteria; Bacillati; Actinomycetota; Actinomycetes; Micrococcales; Microbacteriaceae
Description: bacterial SSU rRNA
Rfam family: Bacterial small subunit ribosomal RNA
Source: RNAcentral